This 583-nucleotide ribosomal RNA is filed under the name Fusarium oxysporum f. sp. albedinis. Its description in RNAcentral is "LSU rRNA". It matches the Rfam family "Eukaryotic large subunit ribosomal RNA", at positions 40 to 646 of the family's 3401-position model. Lineage: Eukaryota; Fungi; Ascomycota; Sordariomycetes; Hypocreales; Nectriaceae. The record is from RNAcentral.
AUAUCAAUAAGCGGAGGAAAAGAAACCAACAGGGAUUGCCCUAGUAACGGCGAGUGAAGCGGCAACAGCUCAAAUUUGAAAUCUGGCUCUCGGGCCCGAGUUGUAAUUUGUAGAGGAUACUUUUGAUGCGGUGCCUUCCGAGUUCCCUGGAACGGGACGCCAUAGAGGGUGAGAGCCCCGUCUGGUUGGAUGCCAAAUCUCUGUAAAGUUCCUUCAACGAGUCGAGUAGUUUGGGAAUGCUGCUCUAAAUGGGAGGUAUAUGUCUUCUAAAGCUAAAUACCGGCCAGAGACCGAUAGCGCACAAGUAGAGUGAUCGAAAGAUGAAAAGCACUUUGAAAAGAGAGUUAAAAAGUACGUGAAAUUGUUGAAAGGGAAGCGUUUAUGACCAGACUUGGGCUUGGUUAAUCAUCUGGGGUUCUCCCCAGUGCACUUUUCCAGUCCAGGCCAGCAUCAGUUUUCCCCGGGGGAUAAAGGCGGCGGGAAUGUGGCUCUCUUCGGGGAGUGUUAUAGCCCACCGUGUAAUACCCUGGGGGAGACUGAGGUUCGCGCAUCUGCAAGGAUGCUGGCGUAAUGGUCAUCAACG